CUGGGUAAUAAUUUAACCUAUCUAGUAUACUCUUCCAUUUUGCAAUUGCUCUGUCCUUUAAUAUGUAACUGUAUUACAAUUUCCUUCACUCUCUGUCUAGCCUCUUGCUUCCUUUGUUGAAAUCUUCUUGCAUUUCUCUCUGCCCAGACAUGAUAGACAGUUGUUGCAAAGAGAAAUCAUAGAAUAUGAGUCCUUGGUCGAUUGUUCCUUUUAAUUCUGCAGCCAUGUAAUUUGUGGAUUAUAGAUUUAAAUUAAAACUGCAGAAUAAAGUUGCAUAAAACUUAGGCAUAUACUCAUGAAAUGGGAUUAGUUUAUCUAUAGUUGUAAUGUAAAAAAUGAAGGAUAAAAUGAACCUUGAUUCUUUAGUCAAAUUCUCAUUUCUAGCUCUUUGCUCACAUGCUAGUUCCUAACUUCCUGUUAGUAAGUAAAACACACAUUCAGACAAGUAAACUUGGAUUUGGUUUUUGGAAAAUACUAGACAAACAUAUAAAACCAUUUGAAACCUUUCCAGUUCAAAUGUACCCUUCUCCUCAGUAAUAAGUUUUUUUUCUCCUCAAGUUCAGUGAAUUUCUACUAAAAAUGGCUGUAAAUCUUUUGUUCUUGCAAGUUUGCUUGUAGAGUUGCAACGCAGAAUACUUACUGCUAGUUGUGAAAGCAAUAUUUUCACCUACUUAACCAUGCUCGAUCCAACUACAAGUAUAAAUGAAAAAGAUGAAUGUUUGAACAUCUUAUUAAUACAAUAGAAUUCACAUUUGUCUUUAAUGGUGAAAAAUAAGCUUAGCUACUUAUGGAGAUCACAAAUAUUAAAAGUUCAUUUAAUUCUUGCCAUAUACAUUAGAUGCAGUUCUACUUUUCAUCUGUAGAUCACCUCCCCAGCUCGUCUAAUUUUAAGAACCAUCAAUACUCCAUUUCUUAUUCUAAUAAACUUGAAUUAGAUAUUUCUAAUCAAAAAAUGCCGGAGCAAUAAAUUUAUGUAAUUUAAGUCAAAACUAGAUAAUACAUUGGCCCUAGAAGAACAGAGAAUACAUAUCCAAUAUUCUUCAUUUUUUUACUAAACAUGUUAUUUUAGAAUCUUUAAACUAGUUUAAAUAUCCUCCACAUAAUAUCUUCAUUUUCAAAUAAAACAUUGAUAACGAGUAACAUCACAACUUAGAAGCCUCAUUAGCUCAGAAAUACUUCUAUUGUUCUUCGAAGUUUAACAUUUGAAACGACUCUAAUUUAACCCAUGAUGAAAAACAUUAAAGAUUUUCAACCUACGAAUGUCUAAAAUUGAUUUAUCAUCUUUUAACAAUUGAAAAUACUACUUGUAAAAUACCAUAUAUAAGUCAUUAUUGUCCAAGCGACAAUAUUUCUAUAUGACAUUUUAUCAAACACUUCAUAGGCUUCUUAAGUUAGUUCUAUAGGAGCAAACACCAAAAGUAAUAUUGUCUAAACAAAUGAAUUCAAAUCAAACUAGAUCACUAGCAAUUCAGUAAAAACAAACGAAUAAGAAAUAAACUCAUACUCCUCUUAUUACAAAAUGAGCAUCAAACAAAUGCCAAACUAAAAAAACCAAAACCAAAUUAUAAACAAUUAUUUACUGUACUUAGCUACCUACCUUCUCCGAUGGGGAAAAAAAUCCAUAAUAUACCUGCAGUAUUCUAACACUCGUACAUGAACUAACCCAUGAGCCAAAAUAAAUCUUCUGCUAGCAUUGAUAGCCUCAUAAUCCCAAGUUUUAUUCAUGCCAAAAUGGAAUAAAGAAAAAUAAUCAACAAUUACCAAAUCUUAUAAGAAUGUGAAUAGCAAAUGACAAAAAAAUAUUGAUUGUGAAAGUACCAUAGAGGUAGCCGGCAGUGACGAAGAUGUAGGUGGUAAGGCAAAGAGUUCUGAUCUACAACCGGUUAUUCGAGAUUUGCCAAUGUUAUAAUGUUUGUGUUCAUCCUUUUCUUCCCCUUUGGUUGUAGUCUGUAGAUAUGGGCUAACGAGAUUCUGAAAUAAUUUUGAUGGACGAAAAUAAGAGAAAUAAGAACAGUAAAUAAAAAACAAGCCAAGGGCGGGAGGAUUAAAAG
Molecule: long non-coding RNA, 2051 nt
Filed under: Nicotiana tabacum (common tobacco)
Lineage: Eukaryota; Viridiplantae; Streptophyta; Magnoliopsida; Solanales; Solanaceae
Description: long non-coding RNA (NTAB_LNC000389)
Source: RNAcentral